AUAGUUACCUGGCAAGGGAGAUACCAUGAUCACAAAGGUGGUUUUUCAGGGUGAGUCUUACCCACUAGGAUAAGACUCCAAAUGUGCUGACCUGUGAUUUCCCCAAAUGUGGGAAACUCCACCGCAUAAUUUGUGGUAGUAGGGAACUGCAUUUGUGAUUUCCCCUG
RNAcentral lists this small nuclear RNA (167 nucleotides) under Zalophus californianus (California sea lion). Its description in RNAcentral is "U1 spliceosomal RNA (ENSZCAG00015023907.1)". It matches the Rfam family "U1 spliceosomal RNA". Rfam says of the family: U1 is a small nuclear RNA (snRNA) component of the spliceosome (involved in pre-mRNA splicing). Lineage: Eukaryota; Metazoa; Chordata; Mammalia; Carnivora; Otariidae. The record is from RNAcentral.